RNAcentral lists this ribosomal RNA (253 nucleotides) under uncultured bacterium. Its description in RNAcentral is "partial 16S ribosomal RNA". It matches the Rfam family "Bacterial small subunit ribosomal RNA", at positions 524 to 776 of the family's 1533-position model. The record is from RNAcentral.
UACGUAGGGUGCAAGCGUUGUCCGGAAUUAUUGGGCGUAAAGAGCUUGUAGGCGGUUUGUCGCGUCUGCUGUGAAAUUUCGGGGCUCAACCCCGAACUUGCAGUGGGUACGGGCAGACUAGAGUGCGGUAGGGGAGACUGGAAUUCCUGGUGUAGCGGUGAAAUGCGCAGAUAUCAGGAGGAACACCGGUGGCGAAGGCGGGUCUCUGGGCCGUAACUGACGCUGAGGAGCGAAAGCGUGGGGAGCGAACAGG